This 1889-nucleotide long non-coding RNA is filed under the name Sarcophilus harrisii (Tasmanian devil). RNAcentral describes it as "lncRNA (ENSSHAG00000020823.1)". The record is from RNAcentral. Lineage: Eukaryota; Metazoa; Chordata; Mammalia; Dasyuromorphia; Dasyuridae.
CUAAGAAAGUUUUGUUAAGUUUCCAAGAAAAGGUUAUUCAGAAUUUCUUCUAUUUAGUCUAUGCCAUCUUGUUGGAAUCUUGGGGGGUGGUAUUUUAACAAAAAUGAAGAGAAACAGAUGGUGCAAAUAUAUUUCUUGAGGAAAGAGUAUUUGAGUGAUACACCAAGAUUUUAUGAGGCUUCCUCUUGCCAAAUAGGAUGUUGAGAUAAUGCACAGUUAAGAUGGCAAACUCAUCAAUUGUUAAACAGAUUCUGCCCACUUCUGUUAGGGGGUGCAAGAAUUGAGACGGUAACUCUGGGGAGGUUUUAGCUCUGGGAAUAUGGAGGGGAGUGGGAGCUUGGCUGCUUGCAUAGGCACAGUUCAUGUGUCUGUUUUAGGAAAGAAAUAAAAGAAAAAUCCAAAGCUCUAGUCUCUUCUACACAUGGAAAACUGACCUGAAAAAUUUUCAGUAGAUGCCUAUCUGCCUUUCUCCUUUCAAUGGUAGGGGAGGAUGCAUCCCUUCCUCUUUAUUCUAGCUGUGAAUUGGUAUGAUAGCACUGAGAAACAUGAUUCAUGAGGUAUUACUCUUGAUCUCCCAGACAAUGUGCUGAGUUAGUAGGUUCACUUGAGAUGUAUAAACUAGGGCUGAUUGUUUUUUUUUUUUCAUCUAGUACUCAAUUUGGAGAAUUUUUGCAUGUCUUUGUACAGUAAUCCAAUCUUCUCAUUGCUUACCUGAAUCUUUCUUUACUUCCCAGCAUCACUUCCAUGUCCCCAUACUUUCCUCCAAUCUAUGGCCCCACCCUAUGGCCUCAAAAAGGAAAAAAAAAAAUCCUCUUCUUCAUUCUAAUCCCUUUGGAAUUGAUGUGUCCUAUCCCACCCAGGGUUAACAUAAAGUGAAUAAGUGAAUGAGAUGUUCUAGUAUUAUAUAUUCUGAUAUGACUGGUUAGCAAUAUGAAAUAUGAUACACUGGCUUUCCUGUGUAAACUUUGCUUCUGGUGCCCAGCAAAGUAUGCUUGCCACUUUCCACCAGUUCUUAUAUUUUAAAAAAAAUGGGGCAAAAUCUGGGUGGGAAAGAGAAAGAAUGAGGGGAACAUUCUGUUUUUUUGAGACUUCCUAGUUCUUUCAGUAUGCAAAUAACUUAACAGUAUGAUAAUGAUUAAACAAUAAUGCAGUUCAGGGUACCGAGAGAAGGGAAAAAAAUGUUGAUUUCCAUUUUACUUCCCAUGUACCCUAUUUGCUAUAUUCUGUGAAUUGGUAUUUCCCUUGCUUUUGUCUUGUUUCCCCUAAAAGGUGUGGGGAGGGAAAGCUCUCUGUUCUCUACAGUAGUUCCUAGAGUUAGCCCAUUGAGGAUUGAGCAUCUAAUAAGAUGUCUCAAGUUUAUUCUUGGGGAAAUAUUUUCUCUUGCACCCCAACCCUGUUGGUCAUGGCUCAAGAAUAGAUCUGUUUGAGUGAACCCUGUAUAUUGUCCAACAGAAGUGGCCUAUUUUAAAAGGAAUUGAAAUGUCUUCUGGGGGAAAGAUUACAGCAAAGGUAUGUCCUAUUCCUCUCCCAGGGUUUGGGGAUUAGCCUUUUUUGUUUGUUAGUCACUUCCAUGGACUUUCCUGCUAAAACCUGUUUGCAGAACUGAACUCUAUAUUACAAAAAGAUGAGAUCACUGCACCAAGGGACAGGGAAAGCUUGCAUCACGUCGAUCUAUAAUUGUGACAUUGGUAGCUUCAUAAAUACUGUAUGUACCCUAAACAAGGUUUUGUUGUUUUGUUGUUGGUUUUUUUUUGUUUUUUGUUGAUGCUUUCAUUAGUAGUCUGAGAAAAUUAAAAGUCCUUUUUAAUUUGAUAUUUCUUUUUGUUGUAUUUUCUGUACUAUAACUGUCUGCAGUAUGUCUUUUGCAUAAAAUGCAUAAGGGUUUGGGG